GAUGAACGCUGGCGGCGUGCCUAAUACAUGCAAGUCGAGCGAACGGACGAGAAGCUUGCUUCUCUGAUGUUAGCGGCGGACGGGUGAGUAACACGUGGAUAACCUACCUAUAAGACUGGGAUAACUUCGGGAAACCGGAGCUAAUACCGGAUGAUAUUUUGAACCGCAUGGUUCAAAAGUGAAAGACGGUCUUGCUGUCACUUAUAGAUGGAUACGCGCUGCAUUAGCUAGUUGGUAAGGUAACGGCUUACCAAGGCAACGAUGCAUAGCCGACCUGAGAGGGUGAUCGGCCACACUGGAACUGAGGCACGGUCCAGACUCCUACGGGAGGCAGCAGUAGGGAAUCUUCCGCAAUGGGGGAAAGCCUGACGGAGCAACGCCGCGUGAGUGAUGAAGGUCUUCGGAUCGUAAAACUCUGUUAUUAGGGAAGAACAUAUGUGUAAGUAACUGUGCACAUCUUGACGGUACCUAAUCAGAAAGCCACGGCUAACUACGUG
Molecule: ribosomal RNA, 497 nt
Filed under: uncultured bacterium
Lineage: Bacteria
Description: partial 16S ribosomal RNA
Rfam family: Bacterial small subunit ribosomal RNA
Source: RNAcentral